RNAcentral lists this transfer RNA (94 nucleotides) under Lentinula raphanica. Its description in RNAcentral is "tRNA-Asp". Lineage: Eukaryota; Fungi; Basidiomycota; Agaricomycetes; Agaricales; Omphalotaceae. The record is from RNAcentral.
UCCCUGGUAGUAUAUCGGUUUAGUACACGCGCCUGUCAUAUAACUUUGCAUGGAAUUGACGCGCGAAAGCUGGGUUCGACUCCCAGCCAGGGAG